This 21-nucleotide non-coding RNA is filed under the name Caenorhabditis elegans. Lineage: Eukaryota; Metazoa; Nematoda; Chromadorea; Rhabditida; Rhabditidae. The record is from RNAcentral.
UAUCUUGAUUAAUAUAUAUAU